Molecule: long non-coding RNA, 2422 nt
Organism: Megalobrama amblycephala (Wuchang bream)
Lineage: Eukaryota; Metazoa; Chordata; Actinopteri; Cypriniformes; Xenocyprididae
Exons: 2
Source: RefSeq, a predicted model, not a curated record
CACAACAAAGAGGAAUUAAGUCAAGGUAUAACACAACGUGAUUAUUUUUGUUUUUAUUCACAUAAACAUUCACUUUUUACUCAAGUGCAAUGUACAGACCUUAGCAGCAUAUGCUUUUGGGUUAAAAUUUACACUUUACUUGAGUGAUCUUAAGGUUAUUCUUUUAAUUUUCUGUAUUUUUUUCUACAAAUUUUUACAAAAUGUACAGUCAUUAGUACAAUAUUGCCAUUCAAUCAUGCCUUACGACUGAAUUACUUGAUGUAGGUUUGUCCGGGAUUUUUCAUGUUUCUGGUGUUUUGAAGAAAACGCUUAACUCAAACAUAAAAUGAAUGUUGCAAAAAAAGAAAGAAAAAAAAAAAAAAAAACGUGCAUUAACAGUCUUUCAAGUUAUGGAAAUUUCAAACUGGUGAAAAAAGCCAUGAACCAUAUCUUUUUAACAUGAUCAAGAUGAUCCUUUGAGCAAUUAUUGGGAAUUUAAAAAAAUAAAUAAAUACAGAUAACAGAAAAAGGCAGAAGAAAGGUAAUGUCAUGUUUGAAUGGUCAGUUUCACCAUCUUUCUAUUGAUAACAUAUUUCUUAUGGGUACAACGUUUAUCACAUUUAAUCUUGGAAAGAUUCAUUAUCAUUUAAAAAAAUAUAGAACAUCAGGUGAGACACUAAACGGGUCUGAGUGAGACUUGAAAAUAUAUUUGCCACCACUAGGUGUCCCUGUAACAUCUCGAGCUGUUUAUAAAGGGUGGCCACAUGACAUCUCAGCAAGGGUUGACAAAGUGGCAUUCGAAAAUAUAUACUGAAAGCUUAUUAAAGAAUACAUGAGUAACAAAUUAUGCAAAGAAAGGAAGGGUUGCCAGUCAAUUAAAAUAUAAUAAUCAGGGAGUGGGAUGAUUGUAUUGGUAUACAACAAUAAACAUCUUUACAGAUGAAUAGUAAUAACUUGAUCAAAUAAAUUGAGGUUAAAACAUGCAUACUAAAACAAAAAACGUAAAUCUAAAGAAUCAGACAUGAAUGACAAGUAUCUGUAAAUGAAAUAAACGAAUGCAGGAGAAUCAUUGGUUAAACCUCUGGUAAAGUGGCAUGCGUUUCAAAGGUUGGGUCGGGGCUUUACAAAGCCAUUUGUAAUGUGCUCGGUUUGUAAAUGAAUCCAUUAACUACAAAUUACUCCAUAAUCACAGAUCUCUACUCGCACUCUUAACUCCAUUUUCGUCUUUUAUGUCUACAUCAAACCGGCGACGUUUCCCUUUCUUUUCACGCAGGUCUCUGCCCAGAACACCAUGUGUAAAGAUACAGCGCUGACACACAAAGAGAAAUGACACGCCACCUGUGAGCGGGAUUGAGGUAUUAAAGAGCAAGCUGUACCAACCCAAAAAACGGCAAGAGACCCGGGGUGUCGUAAUGGCACCGUUUACAUUAGCUCUAGCCUGCACACCCAAAAUGGAGCUGAAUUAACCUGUCUUUGCAAUGUCAAACCCUACUGUUUUUUGUUCCUUCUUUUUUCUCAUUGUACCAAUGAACCAAAGGCAAAGGAGAGAGAGAGAGAGAGAGGAAAAUGAGGGACGCAUCACUCUGACAGGACCUCUAAUUGGACAGCGUGUCGGAGCUCUUCAGGGCCAGGCCAUCCGGAAACGGGCAGAUAAUGACAAGACGGCGGCUGCCUUUCACUUUGGCGAAGGUUAACACACAUACACGCGUUUGAAUGACGGCUACAGGAGAGCCAUCGGUGGAGUGAGAAAGAGAGAGUGGGGUUCCAUUAUCACAGAACAGCUUUCCUGUGGCUGAACGGAGGCAGCGGAGGAGCGCGGGAGGGAGAGAUGGAGGAUAAUGAUGUGAGGUCAGGGAAGAUGAUGAAGGGAUGAAAAAAAUGACUGCGACUAAGGAUGAAAAACAGGGUGAGCUGGUUGAGGGCAGUGGAGAUGAAUGGAGUUGGUCUAUAAGGGACUAUAAGGACUUUAAACCUGUUUUCCAGCCUGCUCUUGAUGGUGACCUUGAUCAACGGCCCCUCUGAGUUGUGGGCUCAACAAAAGAGCGGGAUAACUCAAUGGGACAUAAAAUGGAAAAGGAGUGGCACUCAGAAAAAAGAUCUGGAUGCUCUAUUCUGUCUUAUUCUGUGUGUGUUUUUUAAAGUAAUUACUUUAACCCUGCACGAUGACCUAGCCAGAUAGAAUCAGACCCUUGUGGUCCUGGCCGAUGCAAUCUGAUUGGUCAAAUUAAUGGCCCAGGGGAGAGAGCUUGACCUUGGUGUGACUCUGUGUCGCUGUGUCCAACCUAACACAUACACAUUAUAUGUAGGGCUAGGUGAUUUACUGGUAGGAAUAUGUGAGCUGGUAUAAAUAUUCUGUUGUAAUCAUGUAUAAUGCUCAUACUUGGUAAGGAAAGGUGUUCCAAACAUUUCAAUGAGGGAAGAGCAAACGAAGAAGAGCUUGCUA